CAUAAGCGGAGGAAAAGAAACCAACAGGGAUUGCCUCAGUAACGGCGAGUGAAGCGGCAAAAGCUCAAAUUUGAAAUCUGGCACCUUCGGUGUCCGAGUUGUAAUUUGAAGAAGGUAACUUUGGAGUUGGCUCUUGUCUAUGUUCCUUGGAACAGGACGUCACAGAGGGUGAGAAUCCCGUGCGAUGAGAUGCCCAACUCUAUGUAAAGUGCUUUCGAAGAGUCGAGUUGUUUGGGAAUGCAGCUCUAAGUGGGUGGUAAAUUCCAUCUAAAGCUAAAUAUUGGCGAGAGACCGAUAGCGAACAAGUACAGUGAUGGAAAGAUGAAAAGAACUUUGAAAAGAGAGUGAAAAAGUACGUGAAAUUGUUGAAAGGGAAGGGCUUGAGAUCAGACUUGGUAUUUUGCAAGCCUUACCUUCGUGGUGGGGUCCCCUGCAGUUUACUGGGCCAGCAUCGGUUUGGAUGGUAGGAUAAUGACUUGGGAAUGUGACUUUGCUUCGGUAAAGUGUUAUAGCCCUUGUUGAUACUGCCUGUCUAGACCGAGGACUGCGUCUUUGACUAGGAUGCUGGCAUAAUGAUCUUAAGUCGCCCGUCUUGAAC
Molecule: ribosomal RNA, 598 nt
Filed under: Schwanniomyces polymorphus var. polymorphus
Lineage: Eukaryota; Fungi; Ascomycota; Pichiomycetes; Serinales; Debaryomycetaceae
Description: LSU rRNA
Rfam family: Eukaryotic large subunit ribosomal RNA
Source: RNAcentral